This 1194-nucleotide long non-coding RNA is filed under the name Arachis ipaensis. RNAcentral's name for it is "long non-coding RNA (AIPA_LNC000302)". The record is from RNAcentral. Lineage: Eukaryota; Viridiplantae; Streptophyta; Magnoliopsida; Fabales; Fabaceae.
AAAAAGGAAGGUCCAACCAACGGCACUUGUUCAAGAAUGCGAGCAUAAUGGAAAUGGGACAAUGUUUGAAGUUGAAAAGAACUCUAAAACUAGGAAUCAAAGGACUGCUGAACUUGAUGCAAUGGAACAAAAUGACAUAAAUUUUGAUGAUGACGGAGAAGAUAUAAACGAGAUGAGUGCAACUUCAAAUAAAAAAGGAACGAGUCUUGACAUGUAUUUUAAGGUACAUGAGAUAAAUUUGGAAGAUGAAAAAGAUGAGGAAGAUGAAGAAAAUGAGCUUGAUGAUGAUGAUGCAAAUGAUGCGGGUAGUGGAGGACAAGCUAGUAAUGAAGGUACUUUUCUUGUUUACUUUAUUGUCUAAUUAUAGCUUAUAUUAUUUCUCAAUUGAAUUAUGUUAUUUUAAUCGGAUUUAAGCACAAUAAAAAAGAAAAUCCGUGGAAAAACUAUGUGCAAAAGGCUUCAUGCCACAGAUUUUAAUGAUCGACGGGAGGUGAAAUUUUUUCAAGGGCAGCCUAUAGGUCUAACCAAGGAGGUUGUAUCUAACCUCAACCAACUAUUGGGCACCACAGUUAGAAAUCCUAGUUUUGUGACUUUGUUAUAUACUAGUUGGUAUGGUGUGCCUAAAAAACUCAAAGAGGACAUGUGGGAGUAUGUCAAUGUAUGUAAAUAUGGCAUUAUGGAUAAUUUUUUGUUAAUUUAUUUGUCACAUUUUUUGUGCUAACUGUUGAUAUUCUAAUGUGUUGUGUUGCAUAGCAAAAGUUCGUUCUUCCCAUAAGUUCAAAGCCUUGGAUAAUGCGGGCACUUUGUUGUGCAUGGAAAAAAUACAAAUGGCAAAAUAAAAAUAGAACAUUUCUUGAAGUACAACACAAAGAAAGAAAUGAUAAAGAACCGACCAUUAGAGAUUCUCGAGGUUCAAUUUUGCAAACUAAUUCGGUAUUGGAGUCUUUCGGAUAUCAAGGUAAUAUUAUCUUUUAUUUCUUCCUAUGUACCAUCAAGCAUACUAUCAUUAAUUCUUCAUGUUCCUAAACUUAGGUGUUUUGAAGAAAUUUGACAUGAUAUCUUGUAAAUGGAAAAAAUGGAAUAAAAUGACAUAAAUUCUGAUGAUGACGGAGAAGAUACAAGCGAGAUGAGUGCAACUUCAAAUAAGAAAGGAAUGGGUCUUGACAUGUAUUCUAAGGUACAUGAGAUAAAUUU